GACGAACGCUGGCGGCGUGCCUAAUACAUGCAAGUAGAACGCACAGUUUAUACCGUAGCUUGCUACACCAUAGACUGUGAGUUGCGAACGGGUGAGUAACGCGUAGGUAACCUGCCUGGUAGCGGGGGAUAACUAUUGGAAACGAUAGCUAAUACCGCAUAAUAUUGAUUAUUGCAUGAUAAUUAAUUGAAAGGUGCAAUUGCACCACUACCAGAUGGACCUGCGUUGUAUUAGCUAGUAGGGGAGGUAACGGCUCACCUAGGCGAAGAUACAUAGCCGACCUGGGAGGGUGAUCGGCCACACUGGGGCUGGGACACGGCCCAGGCUCCUACGGGAGGCAGCAGUAGGGAAACUUCGGCAAUGGACGAAAGUCUGACCGAGCAACGCCGCGGGAGUGAAGAAGGGUUUCGGAUCGGAAAGCUCUGUUGUAAGAGAAGAACGGGUGUGAGAGUGGAAAGUUCACACUGUGACGGUAUCUUACCAGAAAGGGACGGCUAACUACGUG
This 505-nucleotide ribosomal RNA is filed under the name uncultured bacterium. Its description in RNAcentral is "partial 16S ribosomal RNA". It matches the Rfam family "Bacterial small subunit ribosomal RNA", at positions 28 to 507 of the family's 1533-position model. The record is from RNAcentral.